This 485-nucleotide ribosomal RNA is filed under the name uncultured bacterium. Its description in RNAcentral is "bacterial SSU rRNA". It matches the Rfam family "Bacterial small subunit ribosomal RNA", at positions 8 to 518 of the family's 1533-position model. The record is from RNAcentral.
AGAGUUGAUCAUGGCUCAGGAAUGAACGCUGGCGGCAUGGAUUAGGCAUGCAAGUCGAACGUGCUCCUCGGGAGAAAGUGGCGAAAGGGUGAGUAACACGUGAGCAACCUGCCUCCGGAUCCGGAAUAAUCCAGGGAAACUUGGUCUAAAACCGGAUGAAGACAUUGGUCCGCAUGGUCUAAUGUUAAAAUAUUUAUAGUCCGGAGAGGGGCUCGCGGCCCAUUAGCUUGUUGGCGGGGUAAUGGCCCACCAAGGCUACGACGGGUAGGUGGUCUGAGAGGAUGGUCACCCACACUGGGACUGAGACACUGCCCAGACUCCUACGGGAGGCUGCAGUCGAGAAUCUUCCGCAAUGGGCGCAAGCCUGACGGAGCGAUGCCGCGUGAGGGAUGAAGGCCUUCGGGUUGUAAACCUCUGUCAUCCGGGACGAAAACAAUGACGGUACCGGAAAAGGAAGCCACGGCUAACCACGUGCCAGCAGCCGC